This 1327-nucleotide long non-coding RNA is filed under the name Cricetulus griseus (Chinese hamster). Its description in RNAcentral is "lncRNA (ENSCGRG00015029916.1)". The record is from RNAcentral. Lineage: Eukaryota; Metazoa; Chordata; Mammalia; Rodentia; Cricetidae.
GUUUGUAGAGAACUCAGUGUGGGGCUGUUUCUCUUAAGAACUUGUCACCUAGCCAACUGCUGCUCUGAAGAAGAAGAAGAAGAAGAAGAAGAAGAAGAAGAAGAAGAAGAAGAAGAAGAAGAGAAGAAAAGAAAUUUUUCAAAGACAAAAUGAAGAAUGUUAAAAUGAAGUGACCAUCUUGAAUCAUUAUCUGAGCAAGCCUGAAGUAACCAUCUAGCCCUUUGAUAUAAGGUCAGAGGAUGCUGUUGCUGGCUUUGAAGAUGGACAAGAGGACCACGAGCCAAAGAGCACAUGUCUGCAUGCUGGAAAAGCCUAAGAAAAGGACUCUUCCCUGGAGACUCCAGGGGGUGUGAGCCCUGCCACACCUUGAUUCUAAACACUGCUGCCCAAGAUCCAUUUCACCCUUCAGAACUGAGGGGCAAAGGACUGCCUCUGAUAGACAGGGACAGGUGGGGCACGAAAACGGCAGUUUAUAAAGGUUGUAUUUGUGGGUGUUUAUUCAUCCUGCUGAGGAGACAUAAACAGAGAAGUCUAUUCAGCCCAGAUAGAGCACCAAUGCCAAACCAAAGCACUUGCUCUCAACCUUCCCAAUACUUGGGGUCCUUCAGUACAGUUCCUCAUGCUAUGACCCCCCAACCAUAAAAUUAUUUUGUUGCUACUUCAUAAGUGUAUUUUUGCUACUGUUAUGAAUCAUAAUGUACAUGUCUGAUAUUUGGGAUAUCUGAUAUGCAACCCCCAAAGGAGUUGUGACCCACAGUUUGAGAACCACUGGACCAAAGAAUCAUCCCAUCCAAACCCAGUCUAGUGAACCAGUGAGUCUAUUGGGGUUACUUUCAGCAGCAUAAAUGCAAAGCCCAGUCCUCCAUGGGUGACAGCUCACAGAAGGCCAAAGCCCUGGACCUCCCUGCUUCCUGCACAAACUUGCAGCCAGCUGUGCCAAUCAGAGAGUCAUUUCCACCCAGCAAUCACUCACUGCUGUUUUUUUGUUUGGGUUUGUUUUUUCUUUUUUAGACAGGGUCUUGUGUAUCCCAAGCAAGCCUGAAGCCUAGCUAGCUAUGUAGUUGAACAUGACCUUGAAGUUUCUGAUUCUCCUGCCUCUACCUCCCAAGUGCUGAGAUUACAGGAGUGCUUAAGUAUGCUUGGUUUCUGUGGUUCUGGGACUGGAACCCAGGCAUCACAUAUGCUUAGCAAGCACUCCAUCAAUGGAACUACAAGCCCAGCCCUGCUUUUAUAAUCUUGAGGAGGGACUUUGUGAGUCCUGUAGGCCUCAGGAGCUUCCCAAACCACGUUAAAUUUCCUUUACUUCCUAAAUCUUGAGUCUCCUUCC